UGAGUACGAGAUGCUACGGCGUCGAAGCAGUCUAUGUCAUACUUCCAAGAAAAGCUUGCACUGUCAGAAACAGAUAAUGCCUGUACCAUAACCGACACAGGUGGGUAGGUAGAGUAUACUAAGGGGCGCGAGAUAACUCUCUCUAAGGAACUCGGCAAAAUGACUCCGUAACUUCGGGAGAAGGAGUGCCUUAUUUUUAAGGUUGCAAUAACAAGAUCCAAGCAACUGUUUACCAAAAACACAGGUCUCCGCUAAGUCGUAAGACGAUGUAUGGGGGCUGACGCCUGCCCAGUGCCAGAAGGUUAAAGAAGUCGGUUAGCAUUCGCGAAGCUGGUAACUGAAGCCCUGGUGAACGGCGGCCGUAACAAUAACGGUCCUAAGGUAGCGAAAUUCCUUGUCGGGUAAGUUCCGACCCGCACGAAAGGCGUAAUGAUUUGGAUACUGUCUCGGAGAGGGGCUCGGUGAAAUAGACUUGUCUGUGAAGAUGCGGACUACCUGCACCUGGACAGAAAGACCCUAUGAAGCUUUACUGUAACUUGAAAUUGAAAUUGGACUUUAUUUGCGCAGUAUAGGUGGGAGGCGUUGAAAAUAUUCUUGCGGGAAUAUUGGAGCCAUCAGUGAGAUACCACUCUUGUAAUGUUAGAUUUCUAACUUUAUAUCAUUAUCUGGUUAAAGAACAGUUUCAGGCGGGCAGUUUGACUGGGGCGGUCGCCUCCCAAAUGGUAACGGAGGCGCACAAAGGUUUCCUCUGAACGGGUAGAAAUCGUAUCUAGAGUGUAAAGGCAUAAGGAAGCUUGACUGUGAGACCUACAAGUCGAGCAGGGACGAAAGUCGGUCUUAGUGAUCUGACGGUGCUGAGUGGAAAGGCCGUCACUCAACGGAUAAAAGUUACUCUAGGAUAACAGGCUGAUCUCCCCCAAGAGUUCACAUCGACGGGGAGGUUUGGCACCUCGAUGUCGGCUCAUCGCAUCCUGGGGCGGUAGUACGUCCCAAGGGUUGGGCUGUUCGCCCAUGAAAGCGGUACGCGAGCUGGGUUCAGAACGUCGUGAGACAGUUCGGUCCAUAUCCGGUGUAGGCGUUAGAAUAUUGAGAGGAGCCUUCUUUAGUACGAGAGGACCGAGAAGGACAUACCUCUGGUGUACCAGUUAUCGUGCCAACGGUAAACGCUGGGUAGCUAUGUAUGGAGUGGAUAACCGCUGAAAGCAUCUAAGUGGGAAGCCCACCUCAAGAUAAGUAUUCUCAUG
Molecule: ribosomal RNA, 1244 nt
Filed under: metagenome
Description: bacterial LSU rRNA
Rfam family: Bacterial large subunit ribosomal RNA
Source: RNAcentral